UACGUAGGUCCCGAGCGUUGUCCGGAUUUAUUGGGUGUAAAGGGCGUGUAGCCGGGCUGACAAGUCAGAUGUGAAAUCCGGGGGCUCAACCCCCGAACUGCAUUUGAAACUGUUGGUCUUGAGUAUCGGAGAGGCAGGCGGAAUUCCUAGUGUAGCGGUGAAAUGCGUAGAUAUUAGGAGGAACACCAGUGGCGAAGGCGGCUUACUGGACUGUAACUGACGUUGAGGCUCGAAAGCGUGGGGAGCAAACAGG
Molecule: ribosomal RNA, 253 nt
Filed under: uncultured bacterium
Lineage: Bacteria
Description: partial 16S ribosomal RNA
Rfam family: Bacterial small subunit ribosomal RNA
Source: RNAcentral